This 1902-nucleotide ribosomal RNA is filed under the name Triticum aestivum (bread wheat). RNAcentral describes it as "partial small subunit ribosomal RNA". The record is from RNAcentral. Lineage: Eukaryota; Viridiplantae; Streptophyta; Magnoliopsida; Poales; Poaceae.
AUGGCGGACGGCGGCGAGAUGGACGAGGAGGCGAUGAUGCGCGCCUUCUUCCCGACCUCAUUCGGCAAGGCGCCCACCCGCCCCAGCGCCGCCUCCCACUCCUCCACCCUCCGCAAGCCCCAAAACCCUAGCUCCAACCCCUCCACCUCUGCCGCCGCCGAGGAGGACGAUGGCGGUGGUGCCAUUGUCGGACCCCCUAGGCCGCCCAAGGAAUUGGCUCCUAUCCAGGAGGAUGACGAGGAGGGUGGCGGUCUGAUUGGGCCGCCUCGGCCGCCACAGCGGCCGUCUGCGCACGCGGCGGUGGAGGACGAGGACGGCAGCAUGGUUGGGCCGCCUCGGCCGCCACCGUCGAAGGAGGGGGAUGAGGAUGACGAGGACGAGGGCGACGACGACGACGAGGAUGACGACGACGAUGAUAUGGAUGAUGAUGAUGGGGAGGAUUUCGGCAGGAUUCCUCUCAGCAACGAAAUUGUUCUGCGGGGGCACACCAAGGUUGUCUCAGCCCUUGCUGUUGACCCUACAGGAUCCCGAGUGCUCUCUGGCAGCUAUGAUUAUACCAUACGGAUGUAUGACUUCCAAGGCAUGAAUUCGAAGCUACAGUCAUUUAGGCAAUUAGAACCUUGUGAGGGGCAUCAAGUUCGUAGCCUAAGCUGGAGUCCAACAUCGGACCGAUUCUUAUGUGUCACGGGUUCAGCUCAGGCCAAGAUAUAUGACCGAGACGGGCUUUCGCUUGGUGAGUUUGUUAAGGGUGAUAUGUAUAUCCGUGAUCUGAAGAAUACAAAGGGUCAUAUUUCUGGACUAACUGGUGGUGAAUGGAAUCCCAAGUCAAAAGAAACUAUAUUGACCUCAUCGGAAGAUGGAUCAUUACGUCUCUGGGAUGUUUCAGACUUUAGCAGUCAAAAGCAGGUCAUCAAACCAAAGUUAAAAAGACCAAUGCGAAUUCCUGUUACUUCAUGUGCAUGGGAUCAUGAAGGCAAGCGGAUUGUUGCUGGCGUGGGGGAUGGUUCCAUUCAGCUCUGGACCAUAAAGACUGGAUGGGGAAGCAGACCAGAUAUUCAUGUUGAAAAAGCACAUACAGAAGAUAUCACUGGGGUUAAGUUUUCUACUGAUGGGCAGAUUCUUCUGUCAAGAAGUAUGGAUAGUACUCUAAAGAUAUGGGAUUUGAGGAAAAUGAAGACUCCUUUGAAAGUGUUCGACGAUCUGCCUAAUAACUAUGCAGAGACAAAUGCUUCAUUUAGUUCAGACGAGCAACUUAUUUUUACAGGAACCUCUGUUGAGAAAGAUGGCAGAAAUGGAGGUCUACUUUGCUUCUUUGAUAGAAGGAAACUAGAGCUUGUAUCAAGGGUGGGAAUUUCACCACAUUACAGCGUGAUAAGGUCACUCUGGCACCCAAGGAUUAAUCAGGUGUUCGCAACAGUUGGGGACAAGAAGGAAGGUGGGACUCAUAUCUUGUAUGAUCCUUCUGUUAGUCAGAGGGGAGCUCUUGUAUGUGUUGGACGAGCACCAAGGAAAAAAUCUGUUGAUGAUUAUGAGGUGCAACCUUUAAUACACAACCCACAUGCACUGCCUCUAUUCAGAGAUCAACCAAGCCGUAAACGCCAAAGAGAGAAGAUGAUGAAAGACCCCCUCAAAUCGCACAAACCAGAAGCUCCUGUUAGUGGUCCAGGGUUUGGUGGUAAAAUUGGCACAACAAAAGGCAGCUUGCUGACACAGUAUCUCAUGAAGGAAGGUGGUUUAAUUAAGGAGACCUGGAUGGAUGAAGAUCCAAGAGAGGCAAUUUUGAAAUAUGCUGAUGCUGCAAAGAAUGACCCAAAGUUUAUUGCACCAGCAUAUGCUCAAACUCAGCCGGAAACCGUCUUCGCAGAGUCUGAUUCCGACGGCGAAGAGAAAAACGACUAUUAA